GAUGAAGAACGUAGCGAAAUGCGAUAACUAAUGUGAAUUGCAGAAUUCCGUGAAUCAUUGAGUCUUUGAACGCACAUUGCGCCCCCUGGUAUUCCGGGGGGCAUGCCUGUUCGAGCGUCAUUUCAACCCUCAAGCUCUGCUUGGUAUUGAGUCCAUGUCAGCAAUGGCAGGCUCCAAAAUCAGUGGCGGCGCCGCUGGGUCCUGAACGUAGUAAUAUCUCUCGUUACAGGUGCUCGGCGUGCUUCUGCCAAAACCCCAAUUUUUCUAUGGUUGACCUCGGAUCAGGUAGGGAUACCCGCUGAACUUAAGCAUAUCAAUAAGCGGAGGA
This 328-nucleotide unclassified non-coding RNA is filed under the name soil metagenome. RNAcentral describes it as "partial contains 5.8S ribosomal RNA, internal transcribed spacer 2, and large subunit ribosomal RNA". The stretch from base 1 to 120 matches the Rfam family "5.8S ribosomal RNA", at positions 35 to 154 of the family's 154-position model. The record is from RNAcentral.